Molecule: ribosomal RNA, 715 nt
Filed under: soil bacterium Vanc-S3N-M1LLLSSL-3
Lineage: Bacteria
Description: bacterial SSU rRNA
Rfam family: Bacterial small subunit ribosomal RNA
Source: RNAcentral
UCUUGAGAGCGGCGGACGGGUGAGUAAUGCCUAGGAAUCUGCCUGGUAGUGGGGGAUAACGUCCGGAAACGGACGCUAAUACCGCAUACGUCCUACGGGAGAAAGCAGGGGACCUUCGGGCCUUGCGCUAUCAGAUGAGCCUAGGUCGGAUUAGCUAGUUGGUGAGGUAAUGGCUCACCAAGGCGACGAUCCGUAACUGGUCUGAGAGGAUGAUCAGUCACACUGGAACUGAGACACGGUCCAGACUCCUACGGGAGGCAGCAGUGGGGAAUAUUGGACAAUGGGCGAAAGCCUGAUCCAGCCAUGCCGCGUGUGUGAAGAAGGUCUUCGGAUUGUAAAGCACUUUAAGUUGGGAGGAAGGGUACUUACCUAAUACGUGAGUAUUUUGACGUUACCGACAGAAUAAGCACCGGCUAACUCUGUGCCAGCAGCCGCGGUAAUACAGAGGGUGCAAGCGUUAAUCGGAAUUACUGGGCGUAAAGCGCGCGUAGGUGGUUCGUUAAGUUGGAUGUGAAAUCCCCGGGCUCAACCUGGGAACUGCAUCCAAAACUGGCGAGCUAGAGUAUGGUAGAGGGUGGUGGAAUUUCCUGUGUAGCGGUGAAAUGCGUAGAUAUAGGAAGGAACACCAGUGGCGAAGGCGACCACCUGGACUGAUACUGACACUGAGGUGCGAAAGCGUGGGGAGCAAACAGGAUUAGAUACCCUGGUAGUCCAC